This is a long non-coding RNA of Corapipo altera (White-ruffed manakin), 434 nucleotides long. RefSeq lists it as uncharacterized. Lineage: Eukaryota; Metazoa; Chordata; Aves; Passeriformes; Pipridae. The record is from RefSeq and is a predicted model, not a curated record. The transcript has 2 exons.
CCGCCCACCGCGAGGCCCGUCCCGGGGCCGCUCCCCGGGGAUCCGGGCGGCGUUUGUGUGCGUUGGUGCUUGGGAGCCCUGAGGAGGCAGCGUGAAACAGGCAACUGACACAGCCUGUCUUUAACCUGCUGCCCUCUCCUUCGUAAGGGAUGAUGAUGAUGAUGAGCAUAAAAAGAGGCUGUUUGCUGACGGCGAGAGGCAUUGUCCAUGCCAAUCUACAAGGCAGUCCAUCAGAUUUAGGAUUUUCAGCUGUCAGCCAUUCAUGUCAUGAGGAUUUCUCAGCUCUUUCUAAUUGGUCCCUGCAGUGCUUUGCCUUGCUCUUAGAAGGAAAGCAAAAUGCAUUUUAAGAGUUCAGAAAAUUAGCUUAUUUCAAAAGGAGAAUGAUUUUAAAUUUAUUCCAUUUGAAGUAUUUCCAGAUGAGACUUGGAAAAAAA